AUCACCAUAAUCGGGUAUGCAACAAGUCCCCUUACCAGCCCAGAACAGAUGAAUUUCAAGAUAAUUCUCUGACACGCUAACAUUAAAUUUUCUCACAACUGCUCGGUUAACACCACCUGCCUCCUUCGAUAUGUCAAAGUCCUUCGUCAUGCGGGUACCCUAGCAACCAAAUGAAGAGGUAGGUGAUAAUUCUAGUCUCCUUUAAAUCACUGUCUUUAGUUAAUGUAGCUUAAAACAUCGAAAACCUGUCCAAUGAGGUGUUUACUUCAAAUAAGUUAGAAUUUUUAUUCUAUAAGCAGUCUUACCUGAAUAUAGAUAUCAAAUACACGCCGUCCUAGACUUUUCCAAGUUUGCGAAGUGCGACUUUCAUAAACCGUCUCUGCAAAGUGCAAUGUUACAGUGUAUGGCCC
RNAcentral lists this long non-coding RNA (410 nucleotides) under Malus domestica (apple). Its description in RNAcentral is "long non-coding RNA (MDOM_LNC000236)". Lineage: Eukaryota; Viridiplantae; Streptophyta; Magnoliopsida; Rosales; Rosaceae. The record is from RNAcentral.